AGAAUCAACGCUGGCGGCGUGCCUAACACAUGCAAGUCGAACGAGAAAGUGGAGCAAUCCAUGAGUAAAGUGGCGCACGGGUGAGUAACACGUGACUAACCUACCCUCGAGUGGGGAAUAACUUCGGGAAACCGAGGCUAAUACCGCAUAAAACCUAAGGGUCAAGGGAGCAAUCCGUUUGAGGAGGGGUCGCGGCAGAUUAGUUAGUUGGCGGGGUAAUGGCCCACCAAGACGAUGAUCUGUA
RNAcentral lists this ribosomal RNA (244 nucleotides) under uncultured bacterium. RNAcentral's name for it is "partial small subunit ribosomal RNA". It matches the Rfam family "Bacterial small subunit ribosomal RNA", at positions 26 to 285 of the family's 1533-position model. The record is from RNAcentral.